AUGGUGAUAGUGGUGGCAUUUGAAACAAUGAAAGUGAUAACUAUGGUGGCAGCAAUCUUCAUGACAGUGGCUGAUGUUGGUGGUGGUGGAGGCAGAAAUGAGGCAAGACUUGUACAAGCAGCAAUACUGGUGUUGGAAGGGGAUGUGAAUGGCGGUGGGGUUGCAAAGUGGUGGCAAUAAUGGUGGAUGUGGUCGUGGCAAUGAAGUGGUGGUAACAUUAGUGUCGACAAAGGUAGUGAAUGCUAUAGAGGUUGUCAUAUAAG
RNAcentral lists this long non-coding RNA (263 nucleotides) under Ananas comosus (pineapple). Its description in RNAcentral is "long non-coding RNA (ACOM_LNC044673)". The record is from RNAcentral. Lineage: Eukaryota; Viridiplantae; Streptophyta; Magnoliopsida; Poales; Bromeliaceae.